UACAGAGGUCUCAACCGUUGUUCGGAUUCAUUGGGCGUAAAGGGUGCGUAGGCGGUCGCGCAAGUCGGAUGUGAAAUCCCGGAGCUUAACUUCGGAACUGCAUUCGAUACUGCCGGACUGGAGUACUGGAGAGGAGAUCGGAAUUUACGGUGUAGCAGUGAAAUGCGUAGAUAUCGUAAGGAAGACCAGUGGCGAAGGCGGAUCUCUGGACAGUUACUGACACUGAGGCACGACGAGCCAGGG
RNAcentral lists this ribosomal RNA (243 nucleotides) under uncultured bacterium. Its description in RNAcentral is "partial 16S ribosomal RNA". It matches the Rfam family "Bacterial small subunit ribosomal RNA", at positions 524 to 765 of the family's 1533-position model. The record is from RNAcentral.